Molecule: unclassified non-coding RNA, 668 nt
Filed under: Ceratitis capitata (Mediterranean fruit fly)
Lineage: Eukaryota; Metazoa; Arthropoda; Insecta; Diptera; Tephritidae
Description: mATH and LRR domain-containing protein PFE0570w, transcript variant X2
Source: RNAcentral
AGGUAGGCGGAUAGACAUUCAGUUUACAGUUAGCAGCCACGCGGUGACGACUAUUAAUUUUUUAGUGUGUUUGUAAUCGUUUUGUGUAAAAACUAAUAACAGAAAUAUUUUAUUAAAUAUAUUUAUAUAUAUUAAUAUAUAUAUUUUAAAUUAAUGAAAUAAUAUAAAUAAAAAACAAAAUUGCCGAAACCAUAAGUCCGUCCAAAAAAAAAACCCAUUAUACGCGUAUAUAGUCAUAUCUACUUUGAGAAAAUAGCGGAAAUACAGCAAACCGCUAUCGUAUGAUAAGCAGUGCCAUUGCACCAAGAGUCAUGUGUUUAAACCCUGAUAAGACCAAUAUGCUGCUCAUAAUUGUCCUUCAGCCGUUCGGAGGAGAUUUAAAUACACUGAUGGUCCAUCCAUUUUGUGCAAAAUACAUCAAGACAUUUCUGUAGUUGGAGCAAAUUAAUUUUUUUUUUUGUUUUUUUUUCUUGGUUAGUUUAAUUUAAGUUUUCUGUUUGAUGGCGAAUGAGAAGAGAAACUCAUUCCGAAAGGGUAAAUGUUGAAGUAAACAUUUGAAAAAAAAAACGAAAGCGUUUUUAUGUUUUUGCAUGCUUGACUUUAUUUAAUAGAAUUACAAUAACAUUAUUAUCACUUAUACAUGCAAAUAACAGAGAUAUCAAUUUCAC